UUUCCAUGAGCUUCUGCAAUAAUAAUAAUAAUAAUAAUACAUUUUAUUUCAGGCGCCUUUCUGUCACUCAAGGACACCUUACAAAGUGCAAAAUAAGCAUUAAAUAAACAUACAAAAUACACAACAUUUAAAAACAGGUUAAAAAGGGAAAACAAUCAGAUGGAAUAGGCAAUUUUAAACAGGUGAGUUUUGAGGGUGGAUUUGAAUUGUGAGAGUGAGUUAAUUUGUCUGAUAUGAGGUGGUAAAGAGUUCCAGAGUUGGGGAGCAGAGCGGCUGAAGGCUCUGCUCCCCAUGGUGGUGAGGCGAGCAGUAGGGACGGUAAGGUGGAUGGAGGAAGAAGAUCGGAGGGAACGAGAUGGAAUUACAACCUGAAGAAGAUUAGAGAGAUAUGGUGGAGAAAGAUUGUGAAUGGCCUUAAAGGUGAGCAGGAGGAUUUUGUAAUUGAUACGGAACUUUACUGGGAGCCAGUGGAGCUGUUGGAGAACAGGAGUGAUAUGAUGGGGGUUCUACUGAUGAUACGGGCAGCUGAAUUCUGGGCCAGUUGAAGCUUAUGGAGAGUUUUAUUGGUGAGACCAAAGAGAAGAGAGUUGCAAUAGUCUAAUCGAGAGGUGACAAGGCUGUGUACAAGAAUGGCAGUGGCAUGAGGAGUAAGAGAAGGGCGAAGACGGUUUAUAUUGCGGAGGUGGAAGUACGCAGACCGGGUAAUGUUGUUGAUGUGUGAUUGAAAUGAGAGAGUACUGUCCAGGAUGACACCCAGACUCUUUACCUGUGGGGAGGGGGAGACGGAACAGUUGUCAAUGUUAAGAGACAGACUGUUGGUUUUGGAUAGUAUUGAUUUUGUGCCUACGAGGAGAACCUCAGUUUUAUCACUGUUAAGUUUUAGUAGAUUUGAAUUGAACCAUAGUUUUAUUUCAGACAAACAGUCAGUAAGGUAGGAGGGUGGAAGAUUUGAAUUGGGUUUGGUGGCAAGGUAGAGCUGGGUGUCGUCCGCAUAACAGUGGAAAUGGAUGUUGUAUUUGCGGAAGAUAUUUCCAAGGGGAAGGAGAUAAAUGAUGAAUAGGAGGGGCCCCAGGACAGAGCCCUGGGGCACACCUGAAGUGACAGGAGAAGGCAGAGAAGUAAAAGUUUUGAGCUGAAUGAACUAAGUGCGAGAGGUGAGGUAUGAUUUAAACCAAUUUAAAGGAGUCUGAGUGAUACCAAUGGAAACUAGUCUAUUGAGGAGUGUGGUGUGACAGAUGGUGUCAAAUGCUGCACUAAGGUCAAGAAGGAUGAGGAUGGAGAGUAAACCAGAAUCAGCUGCCAUGAGGAGGUCAUUAGUGAUUUUUAUGAGCGCGGUUUCUGUACUGUGGAGAGGGCGAAAUCCAGAUUGGAACUGUUCAUACAGGUUGUUGCAAGACAGAUAAGUAUGUAGUUGAGCAGCUACUGUUUUCUCAAGGAUUUUUGAGAUAAAGGGUAGAUUAGAGAUUGGCCGUAGGUUAUUAAAAUUUGUGGGGUCAGCACCAGAUUUUUUUAAGAUUGCGGUUAUUGCAGCAGUUUUAAAUGACGCAGGAACAGUUCCAGUGGAGAGAGAAGAAUGGAUAAUAGCGGAAAUUAGAGGGAGCAAGGAAGGGAGGCAGGCUUUGACCAGGCCUGUAGGGAGAGGGUCUAGCUGACAGGUGGAUGGUUUAGAUUUACGGAUGAGAUCUGAAAUUUCCGAAUUUGAGGGAAGCUGAAACGAGGAAAAAGAGUGGACAGGGGGGGAAAGUUCAGGAAAUAUGCCAAGCGUAGGUUGUGAAGUGAGAUGUUUAUGAAUGUUCAGAAUUUUUUCAUUGAAAAAUGACAUGAGGGAGUUACAGAAAGCAGUUGAGCAGAGGUGAGAUGGCAGAGAGUCUGGGGCUUGGGUGAUAUUCUUAUAUAAUGAAAAUAGUGACUUGUUACCUUCAUUGGAACAGAUUAGACUAGUGUAGUAGUUGGAUUUGGAUGCGGUGAUGCAGUCCUUAUAGUGUAGCAUAUGAUUUUUGUAAAUGUCCUUGUGAAUAGUUAGACCAGUUUUCUUACAGAGCCGCUCAAGUUGCCGUCCUUUGGCUUUCAUGAGCCGAAGUUCGGGCGUGAACCAGGGGGCAGACUGAGAAAAGGAAACAGACCUGGUUUUUAGCGGAACGAGAGAGUUGAGUAUGUGGUGGAGUCCAGUAUUAUAGUGUGAUAUCAGCUCUUCAAGGGUAGUUGAGUUGAGAGUGUUUGUGAGGUGGUGAAUAGAUGAGGAAAGAGAAUCUAAAUUAAUGUUCUUAAUGUUACGGAAAGAAAUGAGACGGGGGGGCUUAGAGAUGGAGAGAGGGAGAUUAAUAGAGAAUGAGAGCAGGAAAUGGUCAGUUAUAGGGAGAUAAUCUGUUGUAAAGUAGGAAGGUGAGACACCAGAGCAGCAAAUCAAGUCCAAAAUGUGACCUUUAGUGUGAGUGGGAGCAUCUGUGUGCUGCUGGAAUCCAAAACUGUCAAGACAAGAUGUAAAGUCUUUGGUAAGAGGGUUAUUGAUAUUGUCCAUAUGAAUAUUGAAAUCUCCCAGCACUAUAUUAUUUGGUGAGAGGGUGGAGAGAUGAGUAAGCAGAGCAGCAAAAUCAUUGAGAAAGUGGUUGUUUUGUUUUGGGGGACGAUAGACAGUUGUAAUGAUAGUGGGAAUAGGUCCAGACAAUUGACACACUGUUGAUUCAAAGGAGGAGAAGGUAGGCACAGACACCGGCGAUACUUUACACUUCUCGCGGUGAAUUAUCGCGAGACCUCCCCCCCUCCGGCCGGUGUCACGAGGUUGGCAAAUGUAAACAAACCCCGGAGGAGUGCAUUCAUUAAGUUGUACAAAGUCAUUUGGUUGUUGCCAGGUCUCAGUUAAACAGAGAAAGUCAAGCUUACGGUCGAUGAGGAGAUCCUGGAUGAGAUGUCCCUUGCUUGUGAGUGAGCGAAUGUUAAGAAGACCGAAGUUGACAGUGGAGUUGUCUGGUUUGCGGGGGUGUUAGCCGACCGGGCUAAGCAGGCUAGCACACUGUGGUCAACAGCCCGGCUGUAGUUGCGAGAUGGACAGCGAGAAGUGGACCAGAUGGAUUUUAUUUCUUUCGUUGAGUCCUCGUGGAAGUUUCGGCGAGAUCCGCGGUGGAUGUAUCUCCGGCGGGGAAGGAAAGCUGCAUCCGAAUGGAGGAGUAGUGCAGCCAACGGAGGAUCAGACAGUUGGUACCGCAGCCGGAGGAGUUCAGCAGCGGAGUACUGAAGCAAGCCCGUCGCGGGUUGGUGAACAAAUGCCAGGAGAAGCCACAGAAGCACGGACCAGAUGUGGGUCAUGCCGGUCAACAUUGUGAUCGAGGACUCAGGUAGAUUGAUCAGGUGCGCAGAGGCAGGUAAGGCUCAGAAGCUGUCCGUAUAACAACACAGAAGUGUAGACUAAUUUUCAAAAACAGAUGUAAAGUCUGCCAGAUGAGAUCUUGUGUAUCAUUCUUUUGUCCUAGGUCGCAGGACCAAAGACCGUAGGACAGCUUAAAAAAUACAAAUAUUAAAAUUCCGGGCGAGCAGCGGCAGCAAGUCGCGCCAGCGUUCACUCUAGAACCGGAUCCCAAUGUCACACAAUAAGGAAGCAGACAACUCAAGCAAUUCACUCACUGUAAAUAUGGAUCCUCUUGAUGCAAAAAAACGGCAGAGCAAGACCGUGUAUUCUUGCUAUGGAUUCUUUAUUGAGAUGUUGUGAUGACGACACAACUUUCAGCUACAUCAGAGGCUUUUUAAGUGCAGCCUGGGAACAAAAUCACAAAACGGCAAGAAAUUUUUCUUCACUUCCUGUCAUUUCUGUUGCUGUUCCCCAACAAAUUAACUAAUCCUGUUUGCAAAGCAUUUGCUGGAGGAUCUUCCAAUUGACUUGUCAAAGAAUGAAAUUGAUAAAAGCCACUGGUUCACUGUUGAGGAUGCAAAGAUGGCAAGGAGAGAGUUAAGGGAGAGGAUCCUCAAAUCAUGUGAACUUGGUGGAGGUACCUGCAUUUUUGUUGUACCCUGUCGGUUAGUGAAAGAAAGCACAUGUUUUUUUUCCCUCAUAAUCAUAAGAAUCAGAGACAUUGUUUUAAAUGUCUUUUAACAAGCUUUGCACAGUUGAAAGCAAUGAGACGAACAUUUCAGAUGAAAUUGCCAUUCAAAAAGUGAAGGUGAGAAAGACGGACAGGAGAGAAGUGAAAAGAGGAGAGAAAGGAGGUAACAAACUGAAAAGCAAAUGGAAUGUAGAUCAAAGGAAAAUGGUCAAGAACAAAACACAGAAGAUGAGAAAGUUAAACAGGAGACAGCAAGAAGCUCUAGAGAAGGUUUAGAUCCAGAUCUAGAAAAGAAGACUGAGUACAAAACAAGUGAAAAAGAAGAGAAAACAGGUGAUGUAGCUUGUGAUAAACAAGAAAAUGUUAUGGAACUGCUUGAAGCUAUUGUGAAGGGAGAAAGCUUUGAGGAUUCUGUAAAAGAAGAAGAAAUACCAGAACAAGAUGGAAGAAAAUGGGAACAGACUCAGGAAAAAGAAGAGGUAAAAAGGGAAGGAACAUAGUACAAGGUUCUUGAAAGAGUAACAGUAACAGGAAAACAUUACUUUGUUGAUGAGGCAGAAAUAAAAAGACGAGUGAAGGGAGAGAACAUGUCGGCAAAUGUGUUCAGAAGCCUGAUCAGGGUUCCCCGCAAAGUACUUGCACAACCCAAGAAGGCUAAGACCCAGGUGAGCAUAUUCAGUGCUCUUUCAGCCCAGGAUCUUGCUCUCGGGUAUGGCUCCAGCCUAACUAAAAACAUCUCAAAGUACAGACUCUUGAUGGGCAUUCCGGCAGAUGAUGCACAAGUCACAGUGAAGACCAUACAGACUAUGAUAAGAAACUUAAAUGAGCUGGGUCCAGAUUCUGAUUUUGCUAUAAAAACACACACAAUUAAUUUUGGCCCAGUUGCAACAGAUCUUUGCUUGUCUUUUGUUGAGGAUCAGCUAAAAUAGUUGAUUCAUUCACAAUAGUGUAAAGUUCUUGUGACAGAAAACAAAACAUACAAAUCACAAAUUCAUUGAAAGUUUAAAGUUACACAUUCUUGACACAAACAGAAAAGAAAAUGUACAGAAUGCAAAUUCAAUCUUACAUUUUUGGUUAUGGUUCAACUUUACUUCUUUAUAUACAUUUUGUUUUGCAUAUUUAUUUUUACUGACUUUUACCUACUUUGUUUUUUUUAGUUCUCUUACACUUUCUGAGUUUUUGAGUUUUUCUUUUUUUCAUAGGAAAGCUCUUUGAGUUUGUUGCCUCAUCACAAAGACUAUCUUUUCUCUUUUUUGUUCUGUUUGGAAAAAGUGGGCAUAAUUUCCUUGAAUUGUCAUUACUGAAGCUCUGAAUAAAGCUUGAUGCAGUUUGGUUGUUUUCUCUACGAACUUCAACUCCAAGCUGAUAUAUCUGAGUUGAUAUAUGUUCUGGAAUUGUUUUUCAUCUACGAACAACUUCUAGUAUUUUCUCCAGCUCCCUUACUGAUAAACUGUUUUUCUGAUGGACAUCAACAUUUGGAGAGACACAAUAGCUCUGCACGUGUGAAAUACUCUCAGAUUCAAAAGUUUUACAAAGAACUUUGUGUGCAACAACAAGACAAGCACAUUUUUUGUAGUGUGAAAAAGAACAGCAUGUGCAUGUGUUCAUAGUAAUGCAAGGUUUGGAUACUCUGUUUUUGGACAAGCCUUCAAUGCUCAGUCGAUUGUUUUUGGGGCAAACAAGUGUAUAUUUCUGGCAUUUCAGCAAGUAAGCAGCAUGGACUUUUAAUUGUGCUUCUAUAUCUGGAAUUUUUUUGUCAUCAUCACUUUGUAGUAAAUGAAUCAAAAGCAAAUGUUUGCAUUUCUGGCCUCUACAGCCAGUCAUGCAACUGCAAUAAUGUUCAACUCCCGAAAGGAAUUGGUACUUGAGGUGAUGGAAAAACCUUUACAACAGAUAUAAAAAGAAAACAGUAUCAAGUGGGUUGCAAGCAAUUAUCUACAAUGUAACUUCAUGACUACAAAUGUAAUAGUAGUGGUGUCCAGCUGUCUUUUCUAUGCUGUGGUGUGCUGGGGAGGAAGCAUGAAGAAGAGGGACGAGAUGCGUCUGGACAAGCUGGUCAGGCGGGCGGGGUCCGUGGUUGGUGUGGAGCUAGACUCUGUGGUAACGGUGGCAGAGAGGAGGACACUGCAAAAACUACUCUCCAUCAUGGAUGAUGAUGGUCACCCACUGCAUUUCAUCAUCAUGGAUCAGAGGAGCAGUUUCAGUGGCAGGCUCCUGUCACAGAGCUGCUCUACGGACAGACUGAGAAGAUCGUUCGUUCCGAGAGCCAUCAGACUCUUCAACUCCUCAAAGUGGAGCCGGAAGAGAGAGGACAGAUGAGAAACGAGUCUCAAUAUGUGCUUUCUUAAUCAGCCUUUUUUUAUCUGUACUGGAAAGCACCCUACACAUCUACACCCUGGGACUCUUUUGCCUUUUUACUGUAUAUACUGUUCAUUUGCAUCCCUGGACACUUGGCACUUUACUGUACA
Long non-coding RNA from Astyanax mexicanus (Mexican tetra), 6502 nucleotides. RefSeq lists it as uncharacterized. Lineage: Eukaryota; Metazoa; Chordata; Actinopteri; Characiformes; Acestrorhamphidae. The record is from RefSeq and is a predicted model, not a curated record. The transcript is spliced from 7 exons.